RNAcentral lists this ribosomal RNA (253 nucleotides) under uncultured bacterium. Its description in RNAcentral is "partial 16S ribosomal RNA". It matches the Rfam family "Bacterial small subunit ribosomal RNA", at positions 524 to 776 of the family's 1533-position model. The record is from RNAcentral.
UACAGAGGGUGCAAGCGUUAAUCGGAAUUACUGGGCGUAAAGCGCGCGUAGGCGGCUGCUUAAGUCGGAUGUGAAAUCCCCGGGCUUAACCUGGGAACUGCAUUCGAUACUGAGCAGCUAGAGUAUGAGAGAGGGAGGUAGAAUUCCACGUGUAGCGGUGAAAUGCGUAGAUAUGUGGAGGAAUACCGGUGGCGAAGGCGGCCUCCUGGCUUAAUACUGACGCUGAGGUGCGAAAGCGUGGGGAGCAAACAGG